UACGGAGGGUGCAAGCGUUAUCCGGAUUCACUGGGUUUAAAGGGUGCGUAGGCGGGCUGUUAAGUCAGUGGUGAAAUCUCCGAGCUUAACUCGGAAACUGCCAUUGAUACUAUCAGUCUUGAAUGUUCUGGAGGUGAGCGGAAUAUGUCAUGUAGCGGUGAAAUGCUUAGAUAUUGGGAAGAACACCGGUGGCGAAGGCGGCUACCUGGACCGGUACUGACGCUGAGGCGCGAAAGCCAGGGGAGCGAAUGGG
This 253-nucleotide ribosomal RNA is filed under the name uncultured bacterium. RNAcentral's name for it is "partial 16S ribosomal RNA". It matches the Rfam family "Bacterial small subunit ribosomal RNA", at positions 524 to 776 of the family's 1533-position model. The record is from RNAcentral.